GGACUACUAGGGUUUCUAAUCCUGUUUGCUCCCCACGCUUUCGUGCAUGAGCGUCAGUAUUGGCCCAGGGGGCUGCCUUCGCCAUCGGUAUUCCUCCACAUCUCUACGCAUUUCACUGCUACACGUGGAAUUCUACCCCCCUCUGCCAUACUCUAGCCUGCCAGUCACCAAUGCAGUUCCCAGGUUGAGCCCGGGGAUUUCACAUCGGUCUUAGCAAACCGCCUGCGCACGCUUUACGCCCAGUAAUUCCGAUUAACGCUUGCACCCUACGUAUUACCGCGGCUGCUGGCAC
RNAcentral lists this unclassified non-coding RNA (292 nucleotides) under uncultured fungus. RNAcentral's name for it is "sequence contains ITS1". Lineage: Eukaryota; Fungi. The record is from RNAcentral.